RNA transcript from Solanum dulcamara, 2875 nucleotides. It is a transcript of the gene named receptor-like protein Cf-9 homolog, with no coding region annotated. Lineage: Eukaryota; Viridiplantae; Streptophyta; Magnoliopsida; Solanales; Solanaceae. The transcript has 2 exons. The record is from RefSeq and is a predicted model, not a curated record.
UAUUUGUGUAACACAUUUACAUUCAUAAUUCAUUAUCUUUCUUGACUUCAAACAACAAAACUAUUUGGUUAAGUCCUUGUCUGCAGGUGUAAUCUGCCUAUAUAUAUUUGAGUAGCCUUUUCUUAAUUUUCACUACCAACUCUAAAAUUGGACUAAAACUCUCAGUACACAGACUUUCUCAGUACUUAGAAGCAACUUGGACUAAAACAUGGGAUACAGACAAUUCUCAUUUCUGCUCUUUGUCUGUUUUUGUCAGCUUUCUUUUUCUUCAUCCAUACCUCAUCUGUGCGCAAAGAUCAAAGAGACGCUCUUCUAAAAUUCAAGAAAACUCUCACUAUAGAUCCCUCAUUAGUUAUGUGUAGUUCCUACUCUUAUACGAGUUCAUGGAAUACGAGCAGAGAUUGUUGCUCGUAGGAUGGAGUCAUAUGUGAUGAGAUGACAGGCCAUGUGAUUGAACUUAAUCUCAGUUGCAGUGGCCUUGUUGGAAAGAUUGAUUCCAAUAGCAGCCUUUUCCAACUCUCUCAUCUCCAAAGGCUCGAUCUUUCUUCUAAUAACUUUUCUAAUUCUCACAUCUCGCCUGAAUUUGGAAGGUUCUCGAGCUUGACACUUCUUGAUCUUUCUGACUCCUAUUUCUCAGGUCAUACUCCUUCUUAAAUAUCUCAUCUUUCUCAAUUACAGUCUCUUCACCUCUUACCGUCAUUUGAAACUAAUCUAACACUCACUGCCCAUGAUUUGAUAUUGCUCCUUCAGAAUUUGACCAAAUUAAGAGAGCUUGAUCUUACUUCCGUAAACAUCUCUUCCACUAUUCCUCCGAAUUUUUCCUCAUUUAACAACUCUGACAGUAAUUUUCACCUUCCCAAUCUGGAAAUACUUGUCUUACAAAACAAUGAUCAGCUCAGUGGUUAUUUUCCAAAGACCAAAUGGAACAGCAGUGCAUCUCUCAUAGAGUUAGAUCUCAGUGGUGUGAAUUUUUCUUGUAAUUUGCCUGAGUCUCUCGGCUAUCUAACUUCACUGCAGUCUGUCUCUUAAAAAUUGCAACCUUAGAGGUCCUAUUCCUGAAUCUCUUCUGAAUCUCGCACGUAUAGGGGAUUUGGACCUUCAAUAUAACUCCCUAAAUGGAACAAUACCAUCAAAGAUGUUCUCCCUACCGUCACUAAGUCGUUAAGUCUUGAGCAAUAACCACUUUUCUGGUCAGUUUGAGGAUUUCAAUUCCAAUUCACUAAUAUGGAUUGAUUUAAGCAAUAAUCAGCUGCAAGGCCAUCUUGCCGAGUCAAUUCAAAACCAUGAUCUCUUAUGAGUUUACAAUUGGCCGCAUGUGAAGUGAAAGAAUUGGAGUUUCUAAGAUCCGCAAAGCAGCUUUAUGACUUGGAUCUUUCAAAUAAUAAGAUUCAAGGAAGAAUUCCAGAUUGGGCAUGGUCUAACUGGAUGUUUGUAUUGCAACGUCUUAAUUUAUCCCACAACAUGCUGGAAAGUGUUGCUUCAAUUCCUCUUUUGUCUAUAGAAGCUAUUGAUUGGUGGUCCAAUUUGCUUCAAGGUCCACUACCUAUUCCACCAAUUUCCACAAGAUUCUUCUUCAUAUCCCAUAAUAAUCUCAGUGAAGAAAUUCCUUCAGAUAUUUGCAAUUUGACAUCACUGGUGAUGCUUGAUUUGGCAAGAAACAACUUGAAAGGAGCAAUUCCACAAUGUUUGGGUAAUAUCAGUGGCCUCGAGGUUCUGGAUAUGCACCACAACAGUCUUUCAGGGACUCUUCCGGUGACUUUUAGAAUUGGAAGUUCACUCAGAAGCUUCAACUUUCAUGGCAAUAAGCUGGAGGGGAAAAUCCCACAAUCCUUGACCAAUUGCAAGCAACUCGAUGUUCUUGAUUUAGGAGACGAUCACCUCAACGACACAUUCCCCGUGUGGUUGGGGACUCUGCCAAAGCUGAAAGUUCUAAGUUUGAGAUCCAAUAAAUUGCAUGGGUCCAUUAGAACUCUAACGACUCAAAACUUGUUUCCUCAGCUUAGAAUAUUAGAUCUCUCCUCCAAUGCGUUCACAAAAAGCUUACCAACGAAUCUGUUUCAACAUUUGAAAACCAUGAGGACAAUUGAUCAAACGAUGAAUGCACCAAGUGAUGAAGGAGAUCGAUAUUACCAAGACUCAGUAGCUCUCGUAACAAAGAGAUUGGAGCUUGAAGUUGUGAGAAUCUUGUUUUUGUACACCAUUGUGGAUCUUUCAAACAACAAAUUUGAAGGACAUAUUCCAAGUAUUAUGGGAGAUCUCAUUGCACUACGUCAGCUGAAUUUAUCUCAUAAUGGGUUGCAAGGUCAUAAACCGCCAUCACUUGGAAGUUUAUCUUCGGUUGAAUCAUUGAACUUUUCAGGUAACCAUCUUGUAGGAGAGAUACCAGCACGAUUUGCUUCUCUUACAUCUCUUGAAGUCUUAAAUCUCUCCUACAAUCAUCUGUAAGGGUUCAUUCCUCAAGGACCUCAAUUCGAUACCUUUGAGAGCAAUUCAUAUGAAGGUAACGAUAGAUUAUGUGAAUUCCCACAUUCAAAAGGUUGUGGUAAUGAUGGUAAUGAUUCAGUAUCAGAGACAAAUCAUACCACAUCUGUUAUAGAUGUUGAAGAAAGCGACUCUGAAUUUCUGAAUGAUUUUUGGAAAGCUGCUCUUAUGGGCUUUGGAAGUGGACUAUGUAUUGCAACUGGAAAACCAAUAUGGCUUGCAAGAAUCAUUGAAGAGCUGGAACACAAAAUUAUGAUGGGAAGGAGAAAGAAGCAGCAUAGGCAAAGGAGUUACAGAAGAAGAAAUAAUAGCUUCUUCACAAGUUACAUUUGUUUUUUUUGUUUUUUUUGUGCAACAUUGUGAUGUAAAUGAUGUUUAAUAAGUUUUUGGACCA